Molecule: non-coding RNA, 66 nt
Filed under: Duganella sp. CY15W
Lineage: Bacteria; Pseudomonadati; Pseudomonadota; Betaproteobacteria; Burkholderiales; Oxalobacteraceae
Source: RNAcentral
AUGCGAAACCGGCCAACACGGCCGGUCUGCCAGACGUGGUUGUCUGGUACUGAUGAGCAGCCAAGA